UGCAAGUCGAACGGUAGCGGGAUUAAUUUAUUAAUUGCCGACGAGUGGCGGACGGGUGAGUAGAGCCUGGGAAAUUACCUUAACGAGGGGGAUAACCAUUAGAAAUGGUGGCUAAUACCGCAUAAUAGCUUAGGCUUAAAGGGGGGACCGAUUAUGGCCUUUUGCGUUGAGAUAUGCCCAGGUAAGAUUAGCUAGUUGGUGGGGUAAGGGCUCACCAAGGCGACGAUCUUUAGCUGGUUUGAGAGGACGAACAGCCACACUGGGACUGAGAUACGGCCCAGACUCUUACGGGAGGCAGCAGUGGGGAAUAUUGCACAAUGGGGGGAACCCUGAUGCAGCCAUGCCGCGUGUGUGAAGAAGGCUUUCGGGUUGUAAAGCACUUUCGGUGGAGAGGAAGGGGUGUUUAGUAAUAUUGGGCACUUUUGACGUUAUCUACAGAAGAAGCACCGGCUAACUCCGUGCCAGCAGCCGCGGUAAUACGGAGGGUGCGAGCGUUAAUCGGAAUGACUGGGCGUAAAGGGCGCGUAGGUGGUUAUAUAAGCUAGAUGUGAAAGUCCUGGGCUUAACCUAGGGAGUGCAUAUGGAACUGUAUAGCUAGAGUACAAGAGAGGUUGGUAGAAUUUCAGGUGUAGCGGUGAAAUUCGUAGAUAUUCGGAGGAACAUCAGUGGCGAAGGCGGCACUCUGGCUUAAAACUGACGCUGAGGAACGAAAGCGUGGGUAGCAAACAGGAUUAGAUACCCUGGUAGUCCACGCCCUAAACGAUGUCAACUAGCCGUUGGAUCCAUUUAAGGAUUUAGUGGUGCAGCUAACGCAUUAAGUUGACCGCCUGGGGAGUACGCACGCAAGUGUAAAACUCAAAGGAAUUGACGGGGGCCCGCACAAGCGGUGGAGCAUGUGGUUUAAUUCGAUGCAACGCGAAGAACCUUACCAUCCCUUGACAUCCAGUGAAAUCAGCAGAGAUGCAGACGUGCCUUCGGGAACGCUGUGACAGGUGCUGCACGGCUGUCGUCAGCUCGUGUCGUGAGAUGUUGGGUUAAGUCCCGCAACGAGCGCAACCCCUAUCCUUAGUUGCCAGCACGUAAAGGUGGGAACUCUAAGGAGACUGCCGGUGAUAAACCGGAGGAAGGUGGGGACGACGUCAAGUCAUCAUGGCCCUUAUGGGAUGGGCUACACACGUGCUACAAUGGUCGGUACAGAGGGCAGCGAACUCGCGAGAGUCAGCGAAUCCCAGAAAGCCGAUCGUAGUCCGGAUUGGAGUCUGCAACUCGACUCCAUGAAGUUGGAAUCGCUAGUAAUCGCGAAUCAGAAUGUCGCGGUGAAUACGUUCCCGGGCCUUGUACACACCGCCCGUCACACCAUGGGAGUGGGCUGCACCAGAAGUGGCUAGGCAAACCUUUCGGGGAAGCCGGUUACCACGG
This 1419-nucleotide ribosomal RNA is filed under the name uncultured bacterium. RNAcentral describes it as "bacterial SSU rRNA". It matches the Rfam family "Bacterial small subunit ribosomal RNA". The record is from RNAcentral.